RNAcentral lists this transfer RNA (69 nucleotides) under Marmota monax (woodchuck). RNAcentral describes it as "tRNA.Ala". Lineage: Eukaryota; Metazoa; Chordata; Mammalia; Rodentia; Sciuridae. The record is from RNAcentral.
GCUUGUGGCUCAGUGGUACAUCACUUGCCUGGCAUGUGUGAGGCCCUGGGUUCCAUCCUCAGCACCGCA